AGUCGAACGGCAGCACGGACUUCGGUCUGGUGGCGAGUGGCGAACGGGUGAGUAAUGUGGUAAUGGAACGUGCCUGCAGCGGGGAUAACUACGCGAAAGCGUAGCUUACCGCAUACGCCCUCGGGGGAAAGCGGGGACCUUCGGGCCUCGCACUAUUAGAGCGGCUCAGAUAUCGGAUUAGCUAGUUGGUGGGGUAACGGCUCACCAAGGGCGACGAUCCGUAGCUGGUUUGAGAGGACGACCAGCCACACUGACUGAGACACGGCCCAGACUCCUACGGGAGGCAGUGGGGGAAUUUUGGACAAUGGGGAAACCCUGAUCCAGCCAUCCCGCAUGCGAUGAAGGCCUUCGGGUUGUAAAGCACUUUUUGCAGGAAAGAAACGGCACGGGAUAAUACCCCGUGCAACUGACGGUACCUGCAGAAUAAGCACCGGCUAACUACGUGCCAGCAGCCGCGGUAAUACGUAGGGGUGCAAGCGUUAAUCGGAAUUACUGGGCGUAAAGCGUGCGCAGGCGGUUCGGAAAGAAAGAUGAAAUCCCAGAGCUUAACUUUGGAACUGCAUUUUUAACUACCGAGCUAGAGGUGUCAGAGGGAGGUGGAAUUCCGCGUGUGGCAGUGAAAUGCGUAGAUAUGCGGAGGAACACCGAUGGCGAAGGCAGCCUCCUGGGAUAACACUGACGCUCAUGCACGAAAGCGUGGGAGCAACAGAUUAGAUACCCUGGUAGUCCACGCCCUAAACGAUGUCAACUAGCUGUUGGGGCCUUCGGGCCUGGUAGCGCAGCUAACGCGUGAAGUUGACCGCCUGGGAGUACGGUCGCAAGAUUAAAAACUCAAAGGAAUUUGACGGGGACCUGCACAAGCGGUGGAUGAUGUGGAUUAAUUCGAUGCAACGCGAAAAACCUUACCUACCCUUGACAUGUCUGGAAUCCCGAAGGAUUUGGGAGUGCUGCAAGAGAACCGGAACACAGGUGCUGUACGGCUGUCGUCAGCUCGUGUCGUGAGAUGUUGGGUUAAUCCCGCAACGAGCGCAACCCUUGUCAUUAGUUGCUACGAAAGGGCACUCUAAUGAGACUGCCGGUGACAAACCGGAGGAAGGUGGGGAUGACGUCAAGUCCUCAUGGCCCUUAUGGGUAGGGCUUCACACGUCAUACAAUGGUCGGGACAGAGGGUCGCCAACCCGCGAGGGGAGCCAAUCCCAGAAACCUGAUCGUAGUCCGGAUCGCAGUCUGCAACUGACUGCGUGAAGUCGGAAUCGCCAGGCAAUCGCGGAAUGUGCAUGUCGCGGUGAAUACGUUCCUGGGUCUUGUACACACCUCGCCCGUCACACCAUGGGAGUGGGUUUUACCAGAAGUAGUUAGCCUAACCGUAAGGAGGGCGAUUACCACGGUAGGAUUCAUGACUGGGGUGAAGUCGCAACAAGGUAG
Molecule: ribosomal RNA, 1425 nt
Filed under: uncultured Bordetella sp.
Lineage: Bacteria; Pseudomonadati; Pseudomonadota; Betaproteobacteria; Burkholderiales; Alcaligenaceae
Description: partial 16S-23S ribosomal RNA intergenic spacer
Rfam family: Bacterial small subunit ribosomal RNA
Source: RNAcentral